Molecule: ribosomal RNA, 149 nt
Filed under: Syngonanthus anomalus
Lineage: Eukaryota; Viridiplantae; Streptophyta; Magnoliopsida; Poales; Eriocaulaceae
Description: 5.8S ribosomal RNA
Rfam family: 5.8S ribosomal RNA
About the family: 5.8S ribosomal RNA (5.8S rRNA) is a component of the large subunit of the eukaryotic ribosome. It is transcribed by RNA polymerase I as part of the 45S precursor that also contains 18S and 28S rRNA.
Source: RNAcentral
AACGGAUAUCUCGGCUCUUGCAUCGAUGAAGAACGUAGCGAAAUGCGAUACUUGGUGUGAAUUGCAGAAUCCCGUGAACCAUCGAGUCUUUGAACGCAAGUUGCGCCCAAAGCCAUUAGGCUGAGGGCACGCCUGCCUGGGUGUCACAC